RNAcentral lists this ribosomal RNA (480 nucleotides) under Fusarium oxysporum. Its description in RNAcentral is "eukaryotic LSU rRNA". The stretch from base 130 to 283 matches the Rfam family "5.8S ribosomal RNA". Lineage: Eukaryota; Fungi; Ascomycota; Sordariomycetes; Hypocreales; Nectriaceae. RNAcentral also lists the same sequence under 2 other names. The record is from RNAcentral.
ACCCCUGUGAACAUACCACUUGUUGCCUCGGCGGAUCAGCCCGCUCCCGGUAAAACGGGACGGCCCGCCAGAGGACCCCUAAACUCUGUUUCUAUAUGUAACUUCUGAGUAAAACCAUAAAUAAAUCAAAACUUUCAACAACGGAUCUCUUGGUUCUGGCAUCGAUGAAGAACGCAGCAAAAUGCGAUAAGUAAUGUGAAUUGCAGAAUUCAGUGAAUCAUCGAAUCUUUGAACGCACAUUGCGCCCGCCAGUAUUCUGGCGGGCAUGCCUGUUCGAGCGUCAUUUCAACCCUCAAGCACAGCUUGGUGUUGGGACUCGCGUUAAUUCGCGUUCCUCAAAUUGAUUGGCGGUCACGUCGAGCUUCCAUAGCGUAGUAGUAAAACCCUCGUUACUGGUAAUCGUCGCGGCCACGCCGUUAAACCCCAACUUCUGAAUGUUGACCUCGGAUCAGGUAGGAAUACCCGCUGAACUUAAGCAUA